This 496-nucleotide ribosomal RNA is filed under the name uncultured bacterium. Its description in RNAcentral is "partial 16S ribosomal RNA". It matches the Rfam family "Bacterial small subunit ribosomal RNA", at positions 355 to 861 of the family's 1533-position model. The record is from RNAcentral.
UGGGGAAUAUUGCACAAUGGGCGGAAGCCUGAUGCAGCAACGCCGCGUGAGGGAUGACGGCCUUCGGGUUGUAAACCUCUUUUAGCAGGGAAGAAGCGAGAGUGACGGUACCUGCAGAAAAAGCGCCGGCUAACUACGUGCCAGCAGCCGCGGUAAUACGUAGGGCGCAAGCGUUAUCCGGAAUUAUUGGGCGUAAAGAGCUCGUAGGCGGUUUGUCGCGUCUGCUGUGAAAUCCCGAGGCUCAACCUCGGGCCUGCAGUGGGUACGGGCAGACUAGAGUGCGGUAGGGGAGAUUGGAAUUCCUGGUGUAGCGGUGGAAUGCGCAGAUAUCAGGAGGAACACCGAUGGCGAAGGCAGAUCUCUGGGCCGUAACUGACGCUGAGGAGCGAAAGGGUGGGGAGCAAACAGGCUUAGAUACCCUGGUAGUCCACCCCGUAAACGUUGGGAACUAGUUGUGGGGACCAUUCCACGGUUUCCGUGACGCAGCUAACGCAUU